CCUACGGGAGGCAGCAGUGAGGAAUAUUGGACAAUGGGCGCAAGCCUGAUCCAGCCAUGCCGCGUGCAGGAUGACGGUCCUAUGGAUUGUAAACUGCUUUUAUACGAGAAGAAACACUGCUUCGUGAAGCAGCUUGACGGUAUCGUAAGAAUAAGGAUCGGCUAACUCCGUGCCAGCAGCCGCGGUAAUACGGAGGAUCCAAGCGUUAUCCGGAAUCAUUGGGUUUAAAGGGUCCGUAGGCGGUUUAAUAAGUCAGUGGUGAAAGCCCAUCGCUCAACGGUGGAACGGCCAUUGAUACUGUUAGACUUGAAUUAUUAGGAAGUAACUAGAAUAUGUAGUGUAGCGGUGAAAUGCUUAGAGAUUACAUGGAAUACCAAUUGCGAAGGCAGGUUACUACUAAUGGAUUGACGCUGAUGGACGAAAGCGUGGGUAGCGAACAGGAUUAGAUACCCUGGUAGUCCACGCCGUAAACGAUGGAUACUAGCUGUUGGGUGCAAACUCAGUGGCUAAGCGAAGUGAUAAGUAUCCACCNGGGAGUACGUUCGCAGAAUGAAAGUCAAAUGAAUUGAGGACUGAGACGAGCGACGGACGACGACGAGGGAGGAGG
Molecule: ribosomal RNA, 607 nt
Filed under: uncultured bacterium
Lineage: Bacteria
Description: bacterial SSU rRNA
Rfam family: Bacterial small subunit ribosomal RNA
Source: RNAcentral